CAUCCAGUGACUUGGAUCCUCAGUUCUCGAAAAGUUUGAAUUUAAAAAGUUGUAAUUCUUGGGAAGCUUGACUGGACAUCCAGUUUGACUUGGAUCCAGUGCCUAGAUGCUUAACAAAUUCGAUCUUAGGAUUAUUCUUUUUAAGUUUAGAUGGCUGUAGCCAUUGCUGCUCGCGUUUUGUUGGGAUGCUGGGAUGAUAAACAAGAGAGAUCGCUAAUCUUGUAGGAACCAUUUUCUUGACUGAAUGUUUUACACGCACACACUCAGGUUUCUUGCUUGAUAAUGAAACUGUCCAAUCGCUUUGGCUGAACAUACAUUGCCGUAAUGAAGCUAAUCCUGCCUGGAGAGAAACAAUGGUUCAGGUACUCUCUCUCUCUCUCUCAUUAAUGGUUUGCCUGGGAAAGAAACAAUGGAAUCCAAGCUCUUUUUGUUGUUCAUCACGGUGGGCUUCACAGUCAUCGCAGGCGAGUAUGUCCGGCCUCAGCCUCGCAAAGACCUCCAAUUCCCAUGGGACGCAAAACCCUCUUCCCAACCUCAACAGGUGCACAUCUCUUUGGCAGGAGACAAGCACAUGCAAGUGACGUGGGCCACUGGUGAUAGAUCUGCUCCUUCAAUUGUUGAAUAUGGAACAUCAUCGGGGAAAUACAGCUCCGUAGCUCAAGGAGAAAGCACUUCGUAUAGUUAUAUGAUCUAUAAGUCUGGACUGAUACACCACACUGUCAUUGGUCCUCUUGAACAUGAUACAGUUUACUUCUACAAAUGUGGAGGACAAGGUCCUGAGUUUCAGCUCAAGACCCCUGCAGCUCAGUUUCCAAUUACUUUUGCUGUGGCAGGAGAUCUUGGUCAAACUGGAUGGACAAAGUCAACCCUAGACCACAUCAAGCGCUGCAAGUAUGAUGUGCAUAUCCUUCCUGGAGACAUUUCAUAUGCUGAUUAUUUGCAGCCUCGGUGGGAUACCUUUGGUGAGCUGGUUCAGCCACUCACAAGUGCAAGGCCAUGGAUGGUAACCCAGGGAAACCAUGAGAAGGAGAGCAUACCAUUCUUGAAGGAUGGGUUUGAAUCCUAUAAUUCUAGGUGGAAAAUUCCGUAUAAAGAGAGUGGAUCGAGCUCGAAUCUUUAUUACUCCUUUGAAGUUGCAGGUGCUCAUAUUAUCAUGCUUGGCUCGUAUACUGAUUAUGAUGAAUAUUCAGAUCAAUACAAGUGGUUGAAGGCUGAUCUGUCAAAGGUAGACCGACAAAAGACACCUUGGUUGCUUGUGCUAUUUCAUGUUCCCUGGUAUAAUAGUAACAAGGCUCAUCAAGGUGAAGGGGACAGCAUGAUGGCAGCAAUGGAGCCAUUGCUUUAUGCUGCUAGUGCUGAUAUAGUGUUUGCUGGUCAUGUUCACGCAUAUGAACGGUCGAACCGUGUUAACAGUGGAAAAUCAAAUACAUGCGGUGCAGUCCACAUUACCAUUGGUGAUGGAGGAAAUAGAGAAGGUUUAGCUCAAAGGUAUGAGCACCGGUCACCUGAGUGGUCAGUUUUCCGGGAAGCAAGUUUUGGUCACUGUGAGCUAGAGAUAGUCAAUUCAACCCAUGCCUUUUGGACCUGGCAUAGGAAUGAUGAUGAUGAGCCUGUAAGGUCUGAUCAGGCGAGUUUUGGAUUGCAAGCCAGAGGUCUAUGUUGGGCGCCUAAGGGGUGUCCAGGCUGCCAAAUCAUAUAAUACUUUGACCUCUGAAGGAAAAUCCAACGACUAGAUAUGCCUGGAGAGCUGCGGUUACUCGCCUGAGGAAAGAAAAACAGGAAGUGGAAAGUUCUUACAGAAGUAAGACAUACUCUGAAGGAAAUAUAAAAACGAUUACCCCUGAAAAGGUUGAUAACAGUAGCUAUGAGAUGGGGGAGGUAACUUUAUAUGAGACACAUGGUGAAGGAAGUAAUGUGGACAGAGUAAACGGUUAUGCACACGAUAAUCCAGAUGUAGUAGCUUCUGUAGGAAUUGACAAUCCUAGUGUGGAAAAGGUGAAUGGUUAUGCACAUGAUGGUCCAAGACUGGGUGUGGCUACGCCACCCAGAUCAGGGAAGGAAGUUAAGUCCAAGGGGCCAUUAUUGGGGAAGACCUCAAAGUUCAGGAAAGGGAUUGAUUCUGGACAUAGUAAAGUUGAAGCCGGUAAUGUGAUGAACAGGGACAAGUCCGAUGUAAAAUCUUCUGAAUCUAAAGCUGCUACACCAGUACAUAGUAAGGAAGAUCUUCGCAAGACACUUAAUAACAUUUACGACAAAGUUCUCAUUGUCAAUAGUGUCUCUAUUGCAAAGAAAGUCGUUAGGAUGCUUAGAGGAGAAUAUAGGCAUCUUGUCCAUGCCUGUGACACAGAGGUUUCUUGCAUGAUAAUGAAACUGUCCAAUCACUUUGGCGGAAGAUACGUUGCCCUAAUGAAGCUAAUCCUGCCUGGAGAUGUAUCUGCAGGUCAUUUGACCAGCCAUGGAAGGAUCCGAUGUUGGAAGUCACUGAUUCC
Rosa rugosa (rugosa rose) is the source of this 2489-nucleotide RNA transcript. It is a transcript of the gene named purple acid phosphatase 18-like, with no coding region annotated. The transcript is spliced from 9 exons. The record is from RefSeq and is a predicted model, not a curated record. Lineage: Eukaryota; Viridiplantae; Streptophyta; Magnoliopsida; Rosales; Rosaceae.